Schistocephalus solidus is the source of this 101-nucleotide non-coding RNA. NCBI's taxonomy places the organism in Eukaryota, Metazoa, Platyhelminthes, Cestoda, Diphyllobothriidea, Diphyllobothriidae. The record is from Rfam.
GUCAGGGUGGCCGAGCGGUCUAAGACGCCAGACUCAAGCGCAUAGCUUCUGAGGUUUCUGGUCCUCGAAUGAGGGCGUGGGUUCAAAUCCCACCUCUGACA